RNAcentral lists this ribosomal RNA (433 nucleotides) under uncultured soil bacterium. Its description in RNAcentral is "bacterial SSU rRNA". It matches the Rfam family "Bacterial small subunit ribosomal RNA", at positions 948 to 1379 of the family's 1533-position model. The record is from RNAcentral.
AGUUCCAUGGAGCUGCGUAGCGCUUACCUGGUCUUGACAUCCACGGAAGUUUCCAGAGAUGGAAAGGUGCCUUCGGGAACUGUGAGACAGGUGCUGCAUGGCUGUCGUCAGCUCGUGUUGUGAAAUGUUGGGUUAAGUCCCGCAACGAGCGCAACCCUUAUCCUUUGUUGCCAGCGGUCCGGCCGGGAACUCAAAGGAGACUGCCAGUGAUAAACUGGAGGAAGGUGGGGAUGACGUCAAGUCAUCAUGGCCCUUACGACCAGGGCUACACACGUGCUACAAUGGCGCAUACAAAGAGAAGCGACCUCGCGAGAGCAAGCGGACCUCAUAAAGUGCGUCGUAGUCCGGAUUGGAGUCUGCAACUCGACUCCAUGAAGUCGGAAUCGCUAGUAAUCGUGGAUCAGAAUGCCACGGUGAAUAAUUUCCCGGGCAA